This 253-nucleotide ribosomal RNA is filed under the name uncultured prokaryote. RNAcentral describes it as "partial 16S ribosomal RNA". It matches the Rfam family "Bacterial small subunit ribosomal RNA", at positions 525 to 777 of the family's 1533-position model. The record is from RNAcentral.
ACGGGGGGGGCAAGCGUUGUUCGGAAUUACUGGGCGUAAAGGGCUCGUAGGCGGCCAACUAAGUCGGACGUGAAAUCCCUCGGCUUAACCGGGGAACUGCGUCCGAUACUGGAUGGCUUGGGAUCGGGAGAGGGAUGCGGAAUUCCAGGUGUAGCGGUGAAAUGCGUAGAUAUCGGGAAGAACACCCGUGGCUAAGGCGGCUCUCUAGUACGGUACUGACGCUGAGACGCGAAAGCGUGGGGAGCGAACAGGA